RNAcentral lists this non-coding RNA (147 nucleotides) under unclassified sequences. RNAcentral's name for it is "radC RNA". It matches the Rfam family "radC RNA". The record is from RNAcentral.
AUCCUUGCCCCAUGUUCGUCGGCGUUGCCGACACAUGCCCAGGCAGCCAAGACCUUCGAGGCUGCAAGCGCGGGAAACCGUGCUGGUCGUUUCUUCCUACGGACGUACCGCGUCCAUCCACCCACAAGGGACCUCUCCCUUGUGGGC